Molecule: ribosomal RNA, 495 nt
Filed under: uncultured bacterium
Lineage: Bacteria
Description: partial 16S ribosomal RNA
Rfam family: Bacterial small subunit ribosomal RNA
Source: RNAcentral
AUGAACGCUGGCGGCGUGCCUAAUACAUGCCAGUCGCGCGAACAGACGAGGAGCUUGCUCCUCUGACGUUAGCGGCGGACGGGUGAGUAACACGUGGAUAACCUACCUAUAAGACUGGGAUAACUUCGGGAAACCGGAGCUAAUACCGGAUAAUAUAUUGAACCGCAUGGUUCAAUAGUGAAAGACGGUUUUGCUGUCACUUAUAGAUGGAUCCGCGCCGCAUUAGCUAGUUGGUAAGGUAACGGCUUACCAAGGCAACGAUGCGUAGCCGACCUGAGAGGGGGAUCGGCCACACUGGAACUGAGACACGGUCCAGACUCCUACGGGAGGCAGCAGUAGGGAAUCUUCCGCAAUGGGCGAAAGCCUGACGGAGCAACGCCGCGUGAGUGAUGAAGGUCUUCGGAUCGUAAAACUCUGUUAUUAGGGAAGAACAAAUGUGUAAGUAACGAUGCACGUCUUGACGGUACCUAAGCAGAAAGCCACGGCUAACUACGU